RNAcentral lists this ribosomal RNA (1970 nucleotides) under Pterocladia lucida. Its description in RNAcentral is "partial large subunit ribosomal RNA". It matches the Rfam family "Eukaryotic large subunit ribosomal RNA", at positions 677 to 2749 of the family's 3401-position model. Lineage: Eukaryota; Rhodophyta; Florideophyceae; Gelidiales; Pterocladiaceae. The record is from RNAcentral.
AGCGCGGGUGCGAGUCGGAAGGUGUAAAAACCUGUGGGCGAAGUGAAAGCGGAUUAAAACUCUCAGUUUGAGGCGGCAUAUCAUCGUUGAUGGUAAGUCCGACCUUGAGCAGUUGCGCUGGGACCCGAAAGAUGGUGAACUAUGCCGGAGUAGGGCAAAGCCAGAGGAAACUCUGGUGGAGGCUCGUAGCGGUGCUGACGUGCAAAUCGCUCGUCGAACUUGGGUAUAGGGGCGAAAGACUAAUCGAACCAUCUAGUAGCUGGUUUCCUCCGAAGUUUCUCUCAGGAUAGCGGGCCGACAUAUAGUUGUUUUGUGCGGUAAAGCGAAUGAUUAGCGUAUUUGGGGGCAAUUAGCCUUCAGACGAUUCUCAAACUUUCAAUGCGCAAGGGUGUUGCUGCUUAAUUGAGCUUCACCGGUAAAAACGUCGGCCCUGUGGGCCACUUUUGGUAAGCAGAACUGGCGAUACGGGAUGAACCGUAAGCACGGUUAAGGCGCCAGACUACUCGCUUAUAGAUCCCACAAAAGGUGUUGAUUCAUCGAGACAGCAGGACGGUGGCCAUGGAAGUCGGAAUCCGCCAAGGAGUGUGUAACAACUCACCUGCCGAAUGAAUUAGCCCUGAAAAUGGAUGGCGCUUAAGCGGGUGGCCGACACCGUGCCGUCUGGAUGAUAUAUUUCAGAUGAGUAGGAGGACGUGGUGAUUGUGACGAAGUAUGUGUGCGAACACGUAUCGAACAAUCACUAGUGCAGAUCUUGGUGGUAGUAGCAAAUAUUCAAGCGAGAUCCUUGAAGGGCGAAGCGGGGAAGGGUUCCACGCUAACAUUGAUUGGGCGUGGGUGAGUCGUUCCUAAGCCGAGUGGCAAUUGCUAAGUAACGGCGAAAGGGAAGCAGGUUUACAUUCCUGCACACGGAUGUGGAGGCGGUGACGCUUUAUUGAGACGAACACGCUGGCGAUGGCGCUGGGCAGAGUUGUCUUUUCUGUUUGACCGUUUGCGUAUAUGGUGUGGAGUCCGCUUGUCGGGAGAAACACAUAUACGCGGGCAGAGCGCCGGGGCUUUUCCGGCGUCCAGCUCGCCAUCGACGGCCCUUGAAACUUUGUCUGCUGAUUUAAAAUCCACGCCGUGGCGUACCGAUCACCGCAUCAGGUCCCCGAGGUGAACAGCCUCUGCUCAAUAUGAAAAAUGCAGGUAAGGGAAGUCGGCAAAUUAGACCCGUAACUUUGGGAAAAGGGUUGGCUCUAGUGCUGCGUGGGAGUGGUUGUCAUGUUGUGACGUUAUUAACGGUGCUGAACUUGCGUGAUACUUCGGUGUUAUUCGAUUCGGCUGCUGUUGUUAAUGUCGCUCUUGACGACGCCCACAGCAUGCAGCAAACUAGAACUGCAACGGGCAAAGGGAAUCCGACUGUUUAAUUAAAACAAAGCAUUGCGAGGGCCGUGGCCGGUGAUGACGCAAUGUGAUUUCUGCUCAGUGCUCUGAAUGUCAAAGUGAAGAGAUUCAAUCAAGCGCGGGUAAACAGCGGGAGUAACUAUGACUCUCUUAAGGUAGCCAAAUGCCUCGUCAUCUAAUUAGUGACGCGCAUGAAUGGAUUAACGAGAUUCCUACUGUCCCUAUCUGCUUCUAGCGAAACCACAGCCGAGGGAACGGGCUCGGCGAAAUCGGCGGGGAAAGAAGACCCUGUUGAGCUUGACUCUAUUCUAAUUUUGUGAAGCAAGUUGGGAGGUGUAGCAUAGGUGGGAGCGCUUGCGCGUCCGUGAAAUACCACUACUCAGUUACUUACGUGUGGAGUCUUACGACUUCAUUUUAAGGCUGGUGACCACAGCCUAGCACACAUUUAGGAGGGGAGUUUGGCUGGGGCGGCACAUCUUCUACAAGACAACGAAGGUGUCCAAAGAUAAGCUCAGUGAGAACAGAAAUCUCACGUAGCGCAAAAGGGUAAAAGCUUGUUUUAUUUUGAUUUUCAGUGCGAGUCGAAA